AUGCCCAAGCGGACGACCCACACGUACUCGAGCGAGGACGCGCUGCCGGAGGGCCCCGAGUCCGACCUCUUCGUCUACUACUGCAAGCACUGCGCCUCCCACGUCCUCAUCACUGAUACCCUAUUGCAGAAAAUGCCAAAGAGGAAGACCGACCGAGCACAUGUUCUAGAUAAGGCAAAGCAUCUUGCGAGGCUAAAUGUGAAAGAUGCAGGAAAAAUCUUGUUGAAACGUGGAGAAGGAAAACUCGAAAAGCAGUUUCGCAUGACCUGCGUGGGAUGCGACCUUUUUGUUUGCUACCGAUCGGAGGAAGAUUUGGAGCUUGCUCCUUAUAUAUAUGUUGUUGAUGGAGCACUGAGUUCGGUGGCGGCUGAGACAAAUCCACAUGAUGCGCCUGUACCCCCUUGCAUAACACAGUUGCAAGGUGGACUUGUCCAAGUUGCCAUUGAAGUAGAAGACCGAGCACAACGUUCAGCAAUAACAAGAGUGAACGCUGACGAUGUUCGAGUAGCAGUAGCUGCCCCUGCUGCUCGGGGGGAGGCCAACAACGAGUUGCUAGAAUUUAUGGGAAAGGUGCUUGGCUUAAGAUUGAGUCAGAUGACCCUUCAAAGGGGAUGGAAUAAUAAAUCAAAGCUUCUGAUUGUUGAGGAUUUGUCUGCGCGGCAAGUUUAUGAGAAGCUCCUAGAAGCUGUCCAGCCAUAG
Molecule: ribosomal RNA, 699 nt
Filed under: Triticum aestivum (bread wheat)
Lineage: Eukaryota; Viridiplantae; Streptophyta; Magnoliopsida; Poales; Poaceae
Description: partial small subunit ribosomal RNA
Source: RNAcentral